RNAcentral lists this ribosomal RNA (905 nucleotides) under uncultured bacterium. RNAcentral describes it as "bacterial SSU rRNA". It matches the Rfam family "Bacterial small subunit ribosomal RNA", at positions 77 to 976 of the family's 1533-position model. The record is from RNAcentral.
GGGCAACCCUGGUGGCGAGUGGCGAACGGGUGAGUAAUGUAUCGGAACGUGCCCAGUCGUGGGGGAUAACUAUCCGAAAGGAUAGCUAAUACCGCAUACGACCUGAGGGUGAAAGCGGGGGACCUGCAAAGGCCUCGCGCGAUUGGAGCGGCCGAUAUCGGAUUAGCUAGUUGGUGGGGUAAAGGCUCACCAAGGCGACGAUCCGUAGCGGGUCUGAGAGGACGACCCGCCACACUGGAACUGAGACACGGUCCAGACUCCUACGGGAGGCAGCAGUGGGGAAUUUUGGACAAUGGGCGCAAGCCUGAUCCAGCCAUUCCGCGUGAGUGAAGAAGGCCUUCGGGUUGUAAAGCUCUUUCAGCGGGAACGAAACGGUCGAUCCUAAUAAGGUCGGCUAAUGACGGUACCUGCAGAAGAAGCACCGGCUAACUGCGUGCCAGCAGCCGCGGUAAUACGUAGGGUGCGAGCGUUAAUCGGAAUUACUGGGCGUAAAGCGUGCGCAGGCGGUGACAUAAGACAGAUGUGAAAUCCCCGGGCUCAACCUGGGAACUGCGUUUGUGACUGUGUCGCUCGAGUGUAGCAGAGGGGGGUGGAAUUCCACGUGUAGCAGUGAAAUGCGUAGAGAUGUGGAGGAACACCGAUGGCGAAGGCAGCCCCCUGGGUUAACACUGACGCUCAUGCACGAAAGCGUGGGGAGCAAACAGGAUUAGAUACCCUGGUAGUCCACGCCCUAAACGAUGCCAACUAGGUGUUGGGGAAGGAGACUUCCUUAGUGCCGUAGCUAACGCGUGAAGUUGGCCGCCUGGGGAGUACGGUCGCAAGAUUAAAACUCAAAGGAAUUGACGGGGACCCGCACAAGCGGUGGAUGAUGUGGAUUAAUUCGAUGCAACGCGAAAACCUUACCU